GACGAACGCUGGCGGCGUGCUUAACACAUGCAAGUCGAACGAGUGGCGAACGGGUGAGUAAUACGUGAGUAACCUGCCCUCUUUUUGGGAUAAGCCUUGGAAACGGGGUCUAAUACCGGAUAAGGGGGGAUGGGCUCGCGGCCUUUCGGCUUGUUGGUGGGGUGAUGGCCUACCAAGGGGGUGACGGGUAGCCGGCCUGAGAGGGUGACCGGAGACAUAGGGACGGAGCAACGGCCCAGACGCGUACGGGGGGGAGAAGGGGGGGAGAUGGGAGAAUGGGUGAAGGCGUGAUGCAGCGUGGACGAGUGGGGGAUGAAGGCUUUAGGGUUGUAAACCUGUGUCGGAAGGGAACGGGUAGGUGUAGAAGAAGCGCCGGCUAACUACGUGCCAGCAGCCGCGGUAAUUC
RNAcentral lists this ribosomal RNA (406 nucleotides) under uncultured bacterium. RNAcentral describes it as "partial 16S ribosomal RNA". It matches the Rfam family "Bacterial small subunit ribosomal RNA", at positions 28 to 526 of the family's 1533-position model. The record is from RNAcentral.